RNAcentral lists this ribosomal RNA (253 nucleotides) under uncultured bacterium. RNAcentral's name for it is "partial 16S ribosomal RNA". It matches the Rfam family "Bacterial small subunit ribosomal RNA", at positions 524 to 776 of the family's 1533-position model. The record is from RNAcentral.
UACGUAGGGUCCGAGCGUUGUCCGGAAUUACUGGGCGUAAAGAGCUCGUAGGUGGUUUGUCGCGUUGUUCGUGAAAACUCACAGCUCAACUGUGGGCGUGCGGGCGAUACGGGCAGACUGGAGUACUGCAGGGGAGACUGGAAUUCCUGGUGUAGCGGUGGAAUGCGCAGAUAUCAGGAGGAACACCGGCGGCGAAGGCGGUUCUCUGGGCAUGAUCUGACGCUGAGGAGCGAAAGUGUGGGGAGCGAACAGG